GACUAUAUCGUGUGAUAUGAGCUUGAAAAGUAAUUUACGUACAAGUCUUGAAAGCAAAUCAAGUUUUAAAACAAAGUAGCAUCUACUCUGCCCCAGCCUUGACAUCUUAUUACAUAGCAAAUGCUGGCUUUUUAAUUUCCCUAAUCAAGACUGGUCCUAUUUAGCCCACCUCCUCAAGGGGUCCCAGCACUAGCCCCACUCCGACGCCUGAUGAAGUUCCAGAACAGGAGAAAAGGCAUUCAUUUUCUUCCUCCACGUCAUGAUACCAACCGAAAUUACCUUUAAAUGAGGAAGAAGGGGGCAACGUGGAGAGAUGUAGGAAGUGAACCUGAAGCCUGACACACUCAAGGUCUCGGAACCGAAAAUAAUAGGAAUUGUUCUUAUUUUUCCAGUGGAAUCAAGCACAGAGAUGGGCACGCCUCUUUACAGAACCAAAGAUUCAGAACUGUGCCUUACCCUUUGCUUAUGAGGCGGAGGAGGAGGAAGAGAAAGAACCACCGCAAAGAGAGAUGGCAACAAAGGUAAAAUGAAGGCCGGGCAGCCGAUCCCACUCAGGCUGACCACAGUGAGGGAGCAGCAUUAAAAUGAGAAAGGAUCAGGUCUCGAAGCCCAGCCCUUCCCGCUGAAUCUCGUCCUUUGCUUCAUCCAUUCCAUUAAAUAAGUCAUAUUGAAAAUAAAUUAUUAUUAAUACAACAGUAGACAAAAUGCUUGGAGGAGCAACAGACACCCUGAGACCAUGAAGACAGGACGAAGUCACACACUAAGAGCUGAGGCCCAGGGUCACCACAAACCCGGGAGACAUGAGGCCAGGCCUGAGAGGCACAGGCAGGCUGAGGAAUGGACAGAAGAGCAACAGAGAAGCCUGGAGGAUGAAAGCCAACUCUGCAAAGAGCUUCCAAGAGUCUUCCUGCCACAGAAAUUCCACUUGGCCACAGAAAUGGCCCUGGCCCUGGGCCAGGAGAGAGGUGGCGACGAGCUGCUCAUGGCAAUGACUUUCAGUCAGCAUGUCUUACCUGUGCUUCCAAGGGUGGAGAUGCCACUUUGAGUAGGUCACUGGGUCAGGCAGGUCACAAACCAAGCUCCUCCUACACAGUGAGUUCACGGAGACAGAGAGAAGGAAGGGAAGGAGGUUCUCAGCUCUACUGAUUCCUUAGGUCAAGGAGGGACAGGGUCCCUGUACUUGGGGACCCUCCAGUCUGAUGGGAAGAUACAAGGCAACCCUCUUAGAGCCGUAGAAUGAAUGCCACCUAUAGUUCCUCCCUUCAGGAAGGAAAUCCAGUCUGAUGGAAGAGACACGGCCCCUGUUGUAUCAUUCUUGCCUUCUUACCCAUGUCACACAAGGGAGUGAAGGAGGUGGCAGGCCCAGGGAUAGGUCCAUUUCUGUGGUGAAUGGAGGCUUUCAGAGGACAUUCCCACAGCCCUGCUGUCAAGGGCCCCUUCCCCUUCCUCCCUCCCCGGCACGAUGCCUUACCCACUGGAAUGAAUCCUGAGCUCUGAGCCUAUUCCUAACACAUGAAUGCUGACCCCUUUGUCACGUCCCGCUUUCCCUCCAACUCUGUUUUUUGUUCUUUUUCCCACCCAGACUCGCCCUCCCCCACUUGCCAUUUCCCAAGCUCAUCCCGGGGAGACCAGACUCAAUGGCCCACUGGUGAUCUUGUUUUACAUGAGACAUUUCCAAAAAAGACCAAAAAAUCCUUUCCAGGAAAAUGCCAUUUUUAAAAUUCAGCUCCAGACACUGCGGCAACAUUAGGAAAACAAAGGACUUGGCAGAAAGGUUUUCUGCGUGGGGACUUUCUCUCGAAAAUACCUUCUCCAAAUUGCCUCCAGUGGGGAUGACUCCAAGGGUCAGUUCUGGAGCACCCAGGCAAUUGCAGACAGAGUGACUUCGGGUUUGUACACUGUCCCAGGUCUUUCCUUACCUGAUAUCACCCUGGGAUCUUCCAGGCUUAAACAAGGAGCCCCUUCCAAGGGUCCCCAAAGGAAGCAGCUGUCUCUGAGGGUCAAGAAAUAAUGCUGCUUCCUUCCUCCAGAGGGGACUCCUCAACCCCUCUCUUGCCACCAUCACUAAGCCAGGGGCCCAGGUUAGGAGGUGGAGGGACAUAGUGUGCUUAGUAGAGAGCUUGUCUUCUCUUAUCAUCCAAGUGAGAGGAAUACACAGCUUCCCCUGGGGCAUACAUAGUGGUGUUCCCCUUUUUUGCAUGUAUCAGGUAUAAUUAAUCAGGUUGACAUCACAUAUGUAAUAAUAAUGGCCAUUAUUUAUUAAACACUUCCAAUGUGU
RNAcentral lists this long non-coding RNA (2278 nucleotides) under Homo sapiens (human). Its description in RNAcentral is "long non-coding RNA NONHSAT181674.1". The record is from RNAcentral. Lineage: Eukaryota; Metazoa; Chordata; Mammalia; Primates; Hominidae.